This is a non-coding RNA of Myodes glareolus (Bank vole), 623 nucleotides long. Lineage: Eukaryota; Metazoa; Chordata; Mammalia; Rodentia; Cricetidae. The record is from RefSeq and is a predicted model, not a curated record.
AUGGCGCUGCUGGCCAAGCACCUGCUCAAGCCGCUGCCCGCGGACCAGCAGAUCGAUACUGGGCCCUUCCUGGAGGCGGUGGUCCAUCUGCCUUCUUCGAUUGCCUUGGGUCCCCAGUGUUUACGCCCAUCAAGGCAGACAUAAGUGGGAACAUCACUAAAAUAAAGCCGUCUACGACACUGAUCCAGCCAAGUUCAGGACCCUCCAGAACAUCCUGGAAGUGGAGAAGGGCAUGUAUGGAGCGGAGUGGCCCAAAGUAGGAGCCACACUGGCACUGCUGUGGCUGAAAAGGGGCCUGCACUUCAUCCAGGUGUUCCUACAGAGUAUCUGUGACGGGAAACAGGAUGAGAACCAUCCUAACCUCAUCCGUGUAAAAGCCAACAAGGCCUAUGAGAUGACCCUAAAGAAGUACCACGGCUGGCUAGUGCAGAAGAUCUUCAAGGCAGCACUAUAUGCAGCACCCUACAAGUCUUACUUCCUGAAGGCUUUCCAAGGGGCAGAACGUGACGGAGGUGGAGUGCCUUGAGAAGAUCCGCCUCUUCCUGGUCAACUACAGAGCCACCAUUGAUGCCAUCUAUGACAUGUACACCAAAAUGAACGUAGAGCUUGACUAUACAGUGUAG